AGAUGCUGUUGCCAGGAUGGUUGCUAGGGGCUGUUGUCAGGUACUGUUGCCAGACUGGUUGCCAGGUAACCGUUGCCAGGGUGGUUGCCAGGUAACCGUUGCUAGGCACCAUUGCCAGGAUGGUUGCUAGGGGCUGUUGUCAGGUACCGUUGCCAAGGUGAUUGCCAGGUAACUGUUGCUAGGGGCUGUUGCCAGGGUGGUUGCCAGGGUGGUUGCCAGGUAACCAUUGCCAGGGUGGUUGCCAGGUACCGUUGCCAGGCACCAUUGCUAGGUGCUGUUGCCAGGGUGGUUGCCAGGGAACCGUUGCCGGGUGCUGUUGCCAGGUACCGUUGCCAGGGCACCAUUGCUAGAUGCUGUUGCCAGGUAACCGUUGCCAGGUGCUGUUGCCAGGGUGGUUGUCAGGUAACCGUUGCCAGGUACCGUUGCCAGGGAACCAUUGCUAGAUGCUGUUGUCAGGUAACCAUGGCCAGGGUGGUUGCUAGGUACCGUUGCCAAGGUGGUUGCCAGGUAACUGUUGCCAGGCACCAUUGCUAGAUGCCGUUGCCAGGGUGGUUGCCAGGUAACCAUUGCCACGUACCAUUGCCAG
This 586-nucleotide long non-coding RNA is filed under the name Calidris pugnax (ruff). RNAcentral's name for it is "lncRNA (ENSCPUG00000013946.1)". The record is from RNAcentral. Lineage: Eukaryota; Metazoa; Chordata; Aves; Charadriiformes; Scolopacidae.